UACGAAGGGGGCAAGCGUUGUUCGGAAUUAUUGGGCGUAAAGGGUGCGUAGGUGGCGCCGUAAGUCAGGUGUGAAAUUUCGGAGCUUAACUCCGAAACUGCAUUUGAUACUGGCGUGCUUGAGGACUGGAGAGGAGACUGGAAUUCACGGUGUAGCAGUGAAAUGCGUAGAUAUCGUGAGGAAGACCAGUGGCGAAGGCGGGUCUCUGGACAGUUCCUGACACUGAGGCACGAAGGCCAGGGGAGCAAACGGG
RNAcentral lists this ribosomal RNA (253 nucleotides) under uncultured prokaryote. Its description in RNAcentral is "partial 16S ribosomal RNA". It matches the Rfam family "Bacterial small subunit ribosomal RNA", at positions 524 to 776 of the family's 1533-position model. The record is from RNAcentral.